GGGCGAAUAGCUCAGCUGGGAGAGCAACGGUCUUACAAACCGUAGGUCACAGGUUCGAUCCCUGUUUCGCCCACCA
This 76-nucleotide transfer RNA is filed under the name Zetaproteobacteria bacterium. RNAcentral describes it as "tRNA-Val". It matches the Rfam family "tRNA". From Rfam's summary of the family: Transfer RNA (tRNA) molecules are approximately 80 nucleotides in length. Their secondary structure includes four short double-helical elements and three loops (D, anti-codon, and T loops). Further hydrogen bonds mediate the characteristic L-shaped molecular structure. tRNAs have two regions of fundamental functional importance: the anti-codon, which is responsible for specific mRNA codon recognition, and the 3' end, to which the tRNAs corresponding amino acid is attached (by aminoacyl-tRNA synthetases). tRNAs cope with the degeneracy of the genetic code in two manners: having more than one tRNA (with a specific anti-codon) for a particular amino acid; and 'wobble' base-pairing, i.e. permitting non-standard base-pairing at the 3rd anti-codon position. Lineage: Bacteria; Pseudomonadati; Pseudomonadota; Candidatius Mariprofundia. The record is from RNAcentral. RNAcentral also lists the same sequence under 3 other names.